UUUUGGCCUAGAUAUAGUUUACAAAAUUUAUUAGGUUAAGAAUUUAGGUUAAGUAUGUAGGUUAAGAAUUUAGGUUAGGAUAAUCAAAAUUUUAAAUAUACAUGCAAAUUAUGUAAAAUUUUCACUACGAAUUUUAACAUUCAUAAUAAUGGAAAUGAAUGUAAAGAUAGAAUUGCUUACAUAACAACUUUAAUGUGAUGUAAAUCAAGAGUGAAAGACUGCCGUAUAAUCAAAAUCCGAGAACUAGAAUAGUUUGAAAACUGACAAAUUGCAUUGUUAAGGCCCAUGGUUUAGUCAAGGAAUAUUUCGGAAUUCACUGACUUAUACACUUAACGCAGCUGGAAAAUAUGCUUGGUGUCGACUCUUGUUAUAUACGAAAUAACAUAUAAGAUCUCCGUCAUUUGAUUUAAAUACUUGAAGGGAUAUAAUGGAAAGAGUGAAAAUUAUUUGCUCUUCAACUACUAGAUGUGACAAAAAUUAAUUUGACAUACCAAUGGACAUGUCGAAAGGUCUAACAUCCCACCUUUAUACUUGAUACUUAAGGAACUUCGUUGUUGUCGAGUACUUGGAACUGAAGGCGGUUUGCUGAUGACUUGAAUGCGUUAGCCGUGUUCUAAUACUAAAAGGACUACGUUGUUGAAUUGAAAACGUUAGCCGAGUUCUAAUACUAAAAGGACUACGUUAUUGAAUUGAAAGCGUUAGCCGUGUACUUGAAUUUGGAUACGUUAACUCAUUGCUAGUUUAAGGGAAAUGUGCUUCAAGUCCCCGAUUUUUAAAUCCAAAAUUCGAAAAGAUGGGGGAAAAAUCGAAAAAAAAGCAUCAUUGUAGAUGAUCAAUAUUUUUCCUAAUACGAAUUCCAUGCAGUGUGUCCUGUUUUGGUAGCUGGACUCAAUUGAAAUUUUAAUUAAGUAUCUUAAUUUUGUUCAUGGAGGACAUGGUGGGGUUAUUGGACUAUUUACCUGCUGUGAUGAUUUAUUAGAAUUAAGUUUUUUAUAUAAAAAAAUAGUUUUAGGAACAAAAUUUUAAAUAAAAAAUUAUAUGUGAA
This is a long non-coding RNA of Teleopsis dalmanni, 1045 nucleotides long. RefSeq lists it as uncharacterized. The record is from RefSeq and is a predicted model, not a curated record. NCBI's taxonomy places the organism in Eukaryota, Metazoa, Arthropoda, Insecta, Diptera, Diopsidae. The transcript has 6 exons.